AGUAACACGUAUGCAAUCCACCUGUAACAGGGGGAUAACCCGGAGAAAUCCGGACUAAUACCCCAUAAUAUGGGCGCUCCGCAUGGAGAGCCCAUUAAAGAGAGCAAUUUUGGUUACAGACGAGCAUGCGCUCCAUUAGCUAGUUGGUGAGGUAACGGCCCACCAAGGCAACGAUCGGUAGCCGGACUGAGAGGUUGAACGGCCACAUUGGGACUGAGACACGGCCCAG
Molecule: ribosomal RNA, 229 nt
Filed under: uncultured bacterium
Lineage: Bacteria
Description: partial 16S ribosomal RNA
Rfam family: Bacterial small subunit ribosomal RNA
Source: RNAcentral